AAGCAACGCGAAGAACCUUACCAGGUCUUGACAUCCUCUGACAACUCUAGAGAUAGAGCGUUCCCCUUCGGGGGACAGAGUGACAGGUGGUGCAUGGUUGUCGUCAGCUCGUGUCGUGAGAUGUUGGGUUAAGUCCCGCAACGAGCGCAACCCUUGAUCUUAGUUGCCAGCAUUUAGUUGGGCACUCUAAGGUGACUGCCGGUGACAAACCGGAGGAAGGUGGGGAUGACGUCAAAUCAUCAUGCCCCUUAUGACCUGGGCUACACACGUGCUACAAUGGAUGGUACAAAGGGCUGCAAGACCGCGAGGUCAAGCCAAUCCCAUAAAACCAUUCUCAGUUCGGAUUGUAGGCUGCAACUCGCCUACAUGAAGCUGGAAUCGCUAGUAAUCGCGGAUCAGCAUGCCGCGGUGAAUACGUUCCCGGGCCUUGUACACACCGCCCGUCACACCACGAGAGUUUGUAA
RNAcentral lists this ribosomal RNA (464 nucleotides) under Priestia flexa. RNAcentral describes it as "bacterial SSU rRNA". It matches the Rfam family "Bacterial small subunit ribosomal RNA", at positions 954 to 1417 of the family's 1533-position model. Lineage: Bacteria; Bacillati; Bacillota; Bacilli; Caryophanales; Bacillaceae. The record is from RNAcentral.